Molecule: ribosomal RNA, 387 nt
Filed under: Triticum aestivum (bread wheat)
Lineage: Eukaryota; Viridiplantae; Streptophyta; Magnoliopsida; Poales; Poaceae
Description: partial small subunit ribosomal RNA
Source: RNAcentral
AUGGCUGCUUCCGAUGCUUCUGGGGUUACAAGUUCCAGACUUAAGAGAAACUCGGAUGACAUGGCAUGGGAGUUUGCUAUGCUGAUUGAUCCAGAUGAUCUGCAAAGAGUCAAGUGCAAGCUUUGUGGAAAAGUGAUGUCGGGAGGGGUGACUAGGAUGAAGCAACACAUUGCUCAGAUCAAAGGGUCAGUGACAAGUUGCAUGCAAGCCACACUAGAACAGCAAGCUCGGUGUAAGGAUGCAUAUGAGGCGCCAAAGAAGAAGAAGCAAAAGCUACAGGAAGAAAAUGAAGUAAGAGCCUUGGUGAUGCGGAGCAUCUUACGGACAUCACCAUGUCAAGAGUCCAUUUGGCAAGUGACACGUGCGACCUCUACUUCACAUACAUAA